RNAcentral lists this long non-coding RNA (260 nucleotides) under Rattus norvegicus (Norway rat). RNAcentral describes it as "long non-coding RNA NONRATT001372". Lineage: Eukaryota; Metazoa; Chordata; Mammalia; Rodentia; Muridae. The record is from RNAcentral.
UCAGAGUGUCCUGGGCCGCCACCUUUCUUACUCUCCUGCCACCAUAUGAAGAGGGACCAAGAGGAAGUGGAAAAUUUCAAGAAGAAGGGAAAGAGGGUCUGUUGGCUUGAUGGGGCCAGGGCUGGCCCAGCAGGAGUUUAGACAUCCUGAACAUGUUUGGCACACAGUGGCCAUCAGCCACAAUGAGAACAGCAUGAAUGAAGUCAAGGGACACACCCAGAAGAACAGCAAGCUGCCUUGACCAGAACCUCGAAGGAUCG